Molecule: unclassified non-coding RNA, 262 nt
Filed under: Hevea brasiliensis (rubber tree)
Lineage: Eukaryota; Viridiplantae; Streptophyta; Magnoliopsida; Malpighiales; Euphorbiaceae
Source: RNAcentral
GGGUCUGGUUGGGCUUACCAGUGCCUUGACUGUGGAUAUGAGGUGCACCCCAAGUGUAUUAGAGCUGUGGACUUCGGCUCCAUGCUUGAGAAAUGAAUAAACUCGCUAGCUCUAUUGUGCUGAUUCAACAGUGGUGUAUUACUGUGAGUUCAUCGUGCUUUGGACUGUGGAUUUCGCUUUUAAUUAAGUUCAGCAUUAGUUAGCAAAUCGAGUUUCAGGUUGGAUUGUAAUUAGCUUAUCUUAAUAAUUAGCUCUAAUAAAA